UUAAAGUCUGACCUGCCCACUGAAAAUUUUAAAUGGCCGCAGUAUUCUAACUGUGCAAAGGUAGCAUAAUCAUUAGUCUUUUAAUUGAAGGCUGGAAUGAAUGGUUGGACGAAAUAUUAACUGUUUCAUUUAAAAUUUUUGUAGAAUUUUAUUUUUUAGUCAAAAAGCUAAAAUUUAUUUAAAAGACGAGAAGACCCUAUAAAUCUUUAUAUUUUAUUUAUUUUAAUUGUUAAGAUUAUUUUUGUUAUAAUAAAUUAAAGUAUUUUAUUGGGGUGAUAUUAAAAUUUAAAAAACUUUUAAUUUAAAUAAAUCAUUAAUUUAUGAGUAAUUGAUCCAUUAAUAAUGAUUAAAAAUUUAAGUUACUUUAGGGAUAACAGCGUAAUUUUUUUGGAGAGUUCAUAUCGAUAAAAAAGAUUGCGACCUCGAUGUUGGAUUAAGAUAUAAUUUUGGGUGUAGCCGUUCAAAUUUUAAGUCUGUUCGACUUUUAAAUUCUUACAUGAUCUGAGUUCAAACCGGUGUAAGCCAGGUUGGUUUCUAUCUUUAAAAAAUUAUAAUAUUUUAGUACGAAAGGACCAAAUAUUAAAAUAAUUAUAUUUUAAAUAAGAAUAUUAUUAAUAAUA
Molecule: ribosomal RNA, 620 nt
Filed under: Drosophila gibberosa
Lineage: Eukaryota; Metazoa; Arthropoda; Insecta; Diptera; Drosophilidae
Description: partial 16S ribosomal RNA
Rfam family: Bacterial large subunit ribosomal RNA
Source: RNAcentral